This 1188-nucleotide ribosomal RNA is filed under the name Rhynchocypris lagowskii (Amur minnow). RNAcentral describes it as "partial 16S ribosomal RNA". It matches the Rfam family "Bacterial large subunit ribosomal RNA", at positions 724 to 2556 of the family's 2925-position model. The record is from RNAcentral. Lineage: Eukaryota; Metazoa; Chordata; Actinopteri; Cypriniformes; Leuciscidae.
GGUGAGCUACCCCGAGACAGCCUAUAUUAAUUUAGGGCUAACCCGUCUCUGUGGCAAAAGAGUGGGAAGAGCUCCGGGUAGAAGUGAAAGACCUACCGAACCUGGUGAUAGCUGGUUGACUGAGAAAUGGAUAGAAGUUCAGCCUCGCACACCCCAAACCAAAAAAUAUUAUCACCAAGAUAUUAAGGGAAACGUACGAGAGUUAGUUGAAAGGGGUACAGCCCUUUUAACAAAGGAUACAACCUUUACAGGAGGAUAAAGAUCAUAAUGUAUAAGACAUACUGUUCUAGUGGGCCUGAAAGCAGCCACCUAAACAGAAAGCGUUAAAGCUCGGACAGAGAGAAGUUUAUUAUACUGAUAAAAAAUCUUAUUCCCCUAGCUAUAUCAGACCAACCCAUGCCCCCAUGGAAGAGAUUAUGCUAAAAUGAGUAAUAAGAAGACCCGCUCUUCUCCCGGCACAAGUGUAAACCAGAUCGGACUAACCACUGGAACUUAACGAACCCAACCCCAGAGGGUAGUGUGAUUAACAAAAAACUCAAGAAGACCUCACAUAAUUGAUCGUUGACCCCACACUGGAGUGCUAUUUUAAGGGAAAGACUAAAAGAAGGGGAAGGAACUCGGCAAACACAAGCCUCGCCUGUUUACCAAAAACAUCGCCUCCUGCAACUAAACUGAGUAUAGGAGGUCCAGCCUGCCCAGUGACUACGGGUUCAACGGCCGCGGUAUCUUGACCGUGCAAAGGUAGCGCAAUCACUUGUCUCUUAAAUAGAGACCUGUAUGAAUGGCUAGACGAGGGCUUAACUGUCUCCCCCUUCCAGUCAGUGAAAUUGAUCUAUCCGUGCAGAAGCGGGUAUAACUAUACAAGACGAGAAGACCCUUUGGAGCUUAAGGUACAAAAUUUAGCCACGUUAAACAACUCUAUAAGAAGCAAGAACUUAGUGAUAAUGAAAUUUUACCUUCGGUUGGGGCGACCGCGGAGGAAAAACAAGCCUCCGAGUGGACUGGGCCGAAUCCCUGAAGCCUAUAGAGACAUCUAUAAGCCGCAGAACAUCUGACCAAAAAUGAUCCGGCUAAAAGCCGAUCAACGAACCAAGUUACCCAAGGGAUAACAGCGCAAUCCCCUCCCAGAGCCCAUAUCUACGAGGGGGUUUACGACCUCGAUGUUGGAUCAGGACAUCCUAAUGGUGC